This 537-nucleotide ribosomal RNA is filed under the name uncultured Bacillus sp. RNAcentral describes it as "partial 16S ribosomal RNA". It matches the Rfam family "Bacterial small subunit ribosomal RNA", at positions 355 to 885 of the family's 1533-position model. The record is from RNAcentral. Lineage: Bacteria; Bacillati; Bacillota; Bacilli; Caryophanales; Bacillaceae.
UAGGGAAUCUUCCGCAAUGGACGAAAGUCUGACGGAGCAACGCCGCGUGAGUGAAGAAGGCCUUCGGGUCGUAAAACUCUGUUGCCGGGGAAGAACAAGUGCCGUUCGAACAGGGCGGCGCCUUGACGGUACCCNNCCGGAAAGCCACGGCUAACUACGUGCCAGCAGCCGCGGUNAUACGNAGGUGGCNAGCGUUGUCCGGAAUNNUUGGGCGUNAAGCGCGCGCNGGCGGCUNCUNNAGUCUGAUGUGAAAUCUUGCGGCUCAACCAAGCGGUCNUUGGAAACUGGGAGGCUUGAGUGCNGAAGAGGAGAGUGGAAUUCCACGAGUAGCGGUGAAAUGCGUAGAGAUGUGGAGGAACACCAGUGGCGAAGGCGGCUCUCUNGUCUGUAACUGACGCUGAGGCGCGAAAGCGUGGNNAGCNAACAGGAUUAGAUACCCUGGUAGUCCACGCCGUAAACGAUGAGUGCUAAGUGUUAGAGGGUUUCCGCCCUUUAGUGCUGCACUAACGCAUUAAGCACUCCGCCUGGGGAGUACGG